AAAAAGAUAAGCUAAUUUAAGCUAUUAGGUUCAUACCCUAAUUAUAAAGAAACAAAAAUCUUUUCUUUUUA
Clunio marinus is the source of this 71-nucleotide non-coding RNA. The record is from the annotation of a GenBank genome assembly. NCBI's taxonomy places the organism in Eukaryota, Metazoa, Arthropoda, Insecta, Diptera, Chironomidae.